This 1665-nucleotide long non-coding RNA is filed under the name Sinocyclocheilus grahami. RNAcentral describes it as "lncRNA (ENSSGRG00000016738.1)". The record is from RNAcentral. Lineage: Eukaryota; Metazoa; Chordata; Actinopteri; Cypriniformes; Cyprinidae.
UUCCACUCUUACUCUGAAUGACUUAGUCACUGCAUGCUCAGGCUUCCCGCUGCCUGUGGGGAUUUUGGGGAAUUUGUGAUGACAGCACCUCUCCCUCUGCGGAGGUGUUGCCUUAAAUUUCCAAGGAGAAGAGGCAAAGGAGACGCUCACGAAAGCUGAGCGCGUCCACACGCACGUUUCUUGGUUUUAAUGGGACCUUAGACACUUUGCACUCUCCUCAUCAUGACCGUGACGGCCGUUGGACUUACUAGCAUGUUCUGAACUACACUGAGGAUGGUCGGCACAAAGUGCUAAUUAGCACAGAGGAACCAGUUCAGUCCAAAUGGUGGAACAUGAUGAACAUGGCAGUUUCUGGCAUCUUACAAAAACUCUUCUGGAUAUUCCUUAUGGCUAGUUUCAAGCUGUAGAUUGAAACAUGGAAGAUCAACCCGUGAUGACUUUAGAAGGACAGAGGUCAUUAGCUUUGCAAGAUGCUCCCAAAAUGACUUUAUCAGUAGAGCUUUCAAUGGCAAAUUCAACCAUGGAUAGAAACCUGACCUUAAAAGAUACUUCUGAUUCACUAUCAUCUGUUAUAGAUGAGCCUUUAAAAGACCAAUCACAAUUUGAGCUGAAGAAUAAAAGUUCAUUAGUGAAGAUCAGUCAAAUUGUACCAGUGCUCGUCAGCAAAGAUGGACCUUGUCUUCAAAUCUCGAAUCAUCUCACAAAACAAAAGACAAUGAAAUACAUUGAACAUCAAAUCACUUCCGCUCCAAUAUCAACCUCAAAACUUGAUCUAAAUGGCAUUUAUUGUGAACCUGACCUCCAAAUGGAUGCUGAGACCGGAUUCAGCUAUUUGUUGACUCCCUCAGAUAGUCCAGUGACCAACAGCAUUGAUGUAGACUCCUCAAACACCUCAUCUACUACUUAUAGUUUCUCUAAUUUGACAGUCAGACCCAUAUCAGAACCAGCUUACUCUUAUGCAUCCUCUCCAGUGGGACCGUCCCACCUUGAGCACCCUUACUCGGCUCCUUCACCAGUCACCAAGGGAGCCGAUCUACCCCGAAUCAUCAAGCACAAGCCUAGCUCCAUUACCUUUGCAGAUUACGACAGCUUUUUGGGUCUAAUCUCGAACACCCGAGCCAAUGAGAGUUCAGAUGCUUGUGAGACCUCUUCUGAAGAUGAUGACGAUGAUGUGUUUCCCAAGUGCAAAGAAUUUCUCCAAAGCUCCAGACAAAACGGUGGUGGACUGGAGAAACAAAGAAGGAAAGGUACCCGUGGACAAACACAUGGAGAAGGAAGUUCCAGCACCAAGCUGCCACCCACCAGAAGCAGCAGCUAUGAGGUGGAGGAGGAGAGCAGCAGUACAGAGGAGUCUCAUCAGGUCCUGUCUCCCUGGUCUGAAUCUAUGAUCCAGCUAAUGAAGAGAUUAGAUCAGCUCAAUCUGGACAUAGAAGAAGCUCUCAGCGCCGGCUCUUCCCCCUCCGACACACCCAACACUGCCCGGAGACACACCACUAAUGAUAGAGCAUCCCUGCAGAGCGGAGCUGCGGGGGUGAACCAGUCCCUCAACUGGAACAACAUGGCCAGAAGAACCGACACAAGGGAAUGGCACAGCCAAGAAAGACUUGCGGGAGCCACUUCCUCUCUGGGGAGAUCACAUGGUAAAAAAACAGAGGUGAGCGUUUG